CCUUCGAUAGCUCAGUUGGUAGAGCGGGGGACUGUAGAUUUAUAAUUGUGAUCCCUAGGUCGCUGGUUCGAAUCCGGCUCGAAAAA
Molecule: non-coding RNA, 86 nt
Organism: Nematostella vectensis (starlet sea anemone)
Lineage: Eukaryota; Metazoa; Cnidaria; Anthozoa; Actiniaria; Edwardsiidae
Source: Rfam